GCCGGAGUGGCGGAACUGGCAGACGCAGCGGAUUCAAAAUCCGCCGCCCGCAAGGGCUUGGGGGUUCGAUUCCCCCCUCCGGCA
This 84-nucleotide transfer RNA is filed under the name Leptolyngbya sp. Its description in RNAcentral is "tRNA-Leu". It matches the Rfam family "tRNA". From Rfam's summary of the family: Transfer RNA (tRNA) molecules are approximately 80 nucleotides in length. Lineage: Bacteria; Bacillati; Cyanobacteriota; Cyanophyceae; Leptolyngbyales; Leptolyngbyaceae. RNAcentral also lists the same sequence under 4 other names. The record is from RNAcentral.